CUGCCUCUGUUGGUGUUGGGCCAUAUCCAAUUCCAUAUCUCUUGCACUCAAGGCUGUUUUCAGCCGGCUACCUGGGAGUUGCAACGUAGGCAGUGAAAGGUUCGCCUUGUUCUGCCACAGGCUACCACCCAUGGGAGAUGAACAGGUAACCGAAGGGGAUAUUGGUGGUGUUGAAGUAUUAGGCGGCAUCAUCAUUGAAGACAAACCAAGAGAUAACGGGCUUAAUGUUGCGAAGUCAAUUGAAUUGGCCGAAACAGACUUUGGGGAAGGCAUAGCUGAACC
This 282-nucleotide long non-coding RNA is filed under the name Olea europaea (common olive). RNAcentral's name for it is "long non-coding RNA (OEUR_LNC004052)". The record is from RNAcentral. Lineage: Eukaryota; Viridiplantae; Streptophyta; Magnoliopsida; Lamiales; Oleaceae.